UGUAACUUGUGUCAGUGGUGUGCCAAAUGGAACUCACCUACAGUUGACAUUUCUGGAAUGGAGGCAUGGUACGGGCCUUCGAUGAAUUGUGGCGGAUUGUCGUUGAUGUCCUGGACUUUGAUGAUGAACUCAGAAGGUGGCUCCAAGGGCUCGUCUGUAUCGGC
This is a long non-coding RNA of Thalassophryne amazonica, 164 nucleotides long. RefSeq lists it as uncharacterized. The transcript is spliced from 3 exons. The record is from RefSeq and is a predicted model, not a curated record. Lineage: Eukaryota; Metazoa; Chordata; Actinopteri; Batrachoidiformes; Batrachoididae.